This is a non-coding RNA of Potamilus streckersoni, 75 nucleotides long. The record is from the annotation of a GenBank genome assembly. NCBI's taxonomy places the organism in Eukaryota, Metazoa, Mollusca, Bivalvia, Unionida, Unionidae.
AACUUCCGGUAGACUAGUGGUUAAAACGUCCGUCUUUGAUGCGGGAGGUCGCGGGUUCAAUCCAUGGUCGAGUCA